CCUACGGGAGGCAGCAGUGGGGAAUCUUGGACAAUGGGCGCAAGCCUGAUCCAGCCAUGCCGCGUGAGUGAUGAAGGCCUUAGGGUCGUAAAGCUCUUUCGCCAGAGAUGAUAAUGACAGUAUCUGGUAAAGAAACCCCGGCUAACUCCGUGCCAGCAGCCGCGGUAAUACGGAGGGGGUUAGCGUUGUUCGGAAUUACUGGGCGUAAAGCGCACGUAGGCGGAUCGGAAAGUUGGGGGUGAAAUCCCGGGGCUCAACCCCGGAACUGCCUCCAAAACUAUCGGUCUAGAGUUCGAGAGAGGUGAGUGGAAUUCCGAGUGUAGAGGUGAAAUUCGUAGAUAUUCGGAGGAACACCAGCGGCGAAGGCGGCUCACUGGCUCGAUACUGACGCUGAGGUGCGAAAGUGUGGGGAGCAAACAGGAUUAGAUACCCUGGUAGUCCACACCGUAAACGAUGAAUGCCAGUCGUCGGGUAGCAUGCUAUUCGGUGACACACCUAACGGAUUAAGCAUUCCGCCUGGGGAGUACGGUCGCAAGAUUAAAACUCAAAGGAAUUGACGGGG
Molecule: ribosomal RNA, 562 nt
Filed under: uncultured bacterium
Lineage: Bacteria
Description: bacterial SSU rRNA
Rfam family: Bacterial small subunit ribosomal RNA
Source: RNAcentral